This 1893-nucleotide long non-coding RNA is filed under the name Chlamydomonas reinhardtii. RNAcentral's name for it is "long non-coding RNA (CREI_LNC001408)". Lineage: Eukaryota; Viridiplantae; Chlorophyta; Chlorophyceae; Chlamydomonadales; Chlamydomonadaceae. The record is from RNAcentral.
UUAAACAAAGAAUCAAACGGAACAAAAUUCCGCCAUACACGCGCGCGCAGUUACCAAAAAAUACCGACGCCGGUUACCGAGCUCCGCGUUUGUCGAUGUUGCCCCAGUUGUCACCUUGAGUAUACUCACCCGCAUAUGUUGCCUGGAACCCCCUACCCGGGCGUUUGGCAUUCAGCCUCGUCUCCGAGGUGCGCCCGCAUGCGCUGCCAUGCUCCGCGUCGGCGACGCGCUACAACGUUUACCGGGCACGCCUAAUCCCCGGUGUCUCGUCCACGGUCCAUAGCCAGUCUUACCUAUAAGCGAGAGCGAGAAGUAAAAGCAUAGGGCGGCAGCACAGAAGUGUCACGGGCAUGCAAAAUGGCAACGGUGAAGAGGGGCGGCGUGCAACAGACAUGCUACCUAGCGACCUAACACGCAUCCCACUAACUAUACGAAUGCCCGGAAAAAGGGGGGGCGAGUCAGAGGCAACGAAGAGACAAAUAUCGCUAGGCUGCAUGGGCUUCCGUGGCGGGCGGCGGUUAUGGAGACGCUGAUCGCGCACGACGAGGCACUGGGCCGGAACCCCAUGUGCAUGUGUGUGUGUGUGUGUGGGGGCGCCGUGGGCUGGCGGGGGCUGGCCCCCCGCUCCCCACUCCACGGCGGCACCGAUGCGAGGCAAGCACGCGGCCGCAAUGGCCGCAUCGGUGAAACCCGAAACACUCCCCUGGUAGCGCGGGCGCAAGGGCCCCCAACGUGGUGUCCACAGGUCCCCCCGGCAGUUGAUGACCAACAUGGCUCCGACAUGUCCAGCGCCAGAGCUCGCCUCCAGGAGGGGGGGGGGGGACGAGGAGGAGGAGGAGGUGGGAGAGGAGGAGGAGGACGAGGAGGAAGAAGUGGAGGAGGAGGAGGAGGAGGAGGAGGAGGAGGGGGAGGAGGAGGAGGCGGAAAGGGGGGGGGGGGGGGGCGCCACGAAAGCGACGCGGGCGACUGGGCGGGCUUGAUUGUCGGUGUCGCCGCCGAGCGGACGCCCAACCCAACCCAGCUCCGCGCACCCGGCCCGGGACAAGUGAACGGACAAAGCAAAAAAGAAGAGCAGCCCGAAGGCUGAAAAACACGCCAAACCAUCCAAACAUCCCAAGAAAAAACCCCGCGACGAACAACGCGCGGACGCACAACACCGGACGCAACACUGGACCACACCCCGCACGUACAACAGCACAAGAAACAGCACGGCCCCCUUGCAUCCGGAGAACGAGUCCCGCCGACGGCGACAAGACCCGACAACAAAAAACUCGGUCUUCCCCUGACGGUCCAAAGACGACACAGGCAUAAUGCCCAUGUGUUAAACAAAGAAUCAAACGGAACAAAAUUCCGCCAUACACGCGCGCGCAGUUACCAAAAAAUACCGACGCCGGUUACCGAGCUCCGCGUUUGUCGAUGUUGCCCCAGUUGUCACCUUGAGUAUACUCACCCGCAUAUGUUGCCUGGAACCCCCUACCCGGGCGUUUGGCAUUCAGCCUCGUCUCCGAGGUGCGCCCGCAUGCGCUGCCAUGCUCCGCGUCGGCGACGCGCUACAACGUUUACCGGGCACGCCUAAUCCCCGGUGUCUCGUCCACGGUCCAUAGCCAGUCUUACCUAUAAGCGAGAGCGAGAAGUAAAAGCAUAGGGCGGCAGCACAGAAGUGUCACGGGCAUGCAAAAUGGCAACGGUGAAGAGGGGCGGCGUGCAACAGACAUGCUACCUAGCGACCUAACACGCAUCCCACUAACUAUACGAAUGCCCGGAAAAAGGGGGGCGAGUCAGAGGCAACGAAGAGACAAAUAUCGCUAGGCGGCAUGGGCUUCCGUGGCGGGCGGCGGUUAUGGAGACGCUGAUCGCGCACGACGAGGCACUGGGCCGGAACCCCAUGUGCAU